UACGAAGGGGGCUAGCGUUGUUCGGAUUUACUGGGCGUAAAGCGCACGUAGGCGGAUUGUUAAGUGAGAGGUGAAAUCCCGGAGCUCAACUCCGGAACUGCCUUUCAUACUGGCAAUCUAGAGUCCGGAAGAGGUGAGUGGAACUCCUAGUGUAGAGGUGGAAUUCGUAGAUAUUAGGAAGAACACCAGUGGCGAAGGCGGCUCACUGGCCCGGUACUGACGCUGAGGUGCGAAAGCGUGGGGAGCAAACAGG
This 253-nucleotide ribosomal RNA is filed under the name uncultured bacterium. RNAcentral's name for it is "partial 16S ribosomal RNA". It matches the Rfam family "Bacterial small subunit ribosomal RNA", at positions 524 to 776 of the family's 1533-position model. The record is from RNAcentral.